Sarcophilus harrisii (Tasmanian devil) is the source of this 1310-nucleotide long non-coding RNA. RefSeq lists it as uncharacterized. The transcript has 5 exons. The record is from RefSeq and is a predicted model, not a curated record. NCBI's taxonomy places the organism in Eukaryota, Metazoa, Chordata, Mammalia, Dasyuromorphia, Dasyuridae.
CAUUUAUUUUGGAGUAGCUUACAUUUCAGUGAGUGAGUUAAUGUAGAUAGAAAGAUGGGGGUCAAGGAAGGGAGGUUUACUCUGGGUUGUCUGAGGGAUAGUGAGUGAAGUCAUAGUACAGCUGAUUGUCACAUCAUUUCCAGAAGUAAUAGUAGCAUUGAACUGAUUGAGAUGCUUACAUCAAGAAGGUAAAGAGAACGGAGGGCUGAGUUAAGUAGAUUGUUACAGGGCACAUGGCAAGAGGACAACUGAGAAGUAUAUAGUUCUCAGAUAGUAUAUAAAGCCAAGUCAAUUCUAAGGCAGAUUCAAUACUAGGGGCUUUGUGAACAAUCAGGUCAUCUUGCCUGAGGAAUAAAUUUCAAAGCUGAAUAUAUCAACUUCCCUUGGGCAGGGACUUUGGAGACCCAUAGGUCUCUAGAUUGAAUGGGCAGCAAGAUGAUGUCUCAUUGAAACUUCAAGACCAGAAUUCUACUUGAUGCUUUGGAAAGUUGGCAGAAUACCCUUGUCUUCUGGAGAGAAGGUUGGCCAAGUUUCCUUUCUAUAGAUGCUACAUCUACAUCUCCAAAAUGAGGGAAACAGAGCUGAGAAUGGGAGAGAUGAAAGAACCAGACACGUACCGGGUGAAGCAUGAACCUGACAGCAGAGGGCAGCAGUGACGAGAACCAGGAACAGAACAGCUCCAGAGACCUUCAUGAUGCUGUCAGGGAGGAGGCAGCUUUUAGGAUGAAGUUCAGCAGCUUCUAAGUUUCUGCCUCUCUGAAUGUCCGACUCUUUUCUCCUCCUUUUUAUCAGGGAGAGAAAGGGCUGAAAGAGGAGGAGGGUCCCACUCCCUGGGAGACGUCAUGAGGAAAGAAUGAUGGGCUCCUUCUAGGAAAAACUUCAGAUAAGGAAUGGGACAGAAAUGUGAGGAGGAUCACAUAGAUGGCAACAUCAGGAGUUCAUACUUUAUUCACUAGGUACUAAGGAGUCCCAGAAGAGUUUUGAGCUGAAGAGUAACACUAUUAGAAUGGCAGAUCCUGAUUCCCUACUAAAAGGUCAUCUCUUAUAAGAAAGGAAACAAUGAAAGAGGAAUGAAAGAAAGGGAAAAAUUAAAGGAAGGAAAGAAGAAGAGAAGAACAAAAGACAGGAAAAAAAGGAAGAAAAAAUUCACUAGAGCUAAAUAAUAUAUGAAAGAAAUCUGACAGUAUAUACAAUAUUCUACAUCCAUAAUCCUCACUUCUAUAAAGAAAAGAAGGAGAUAUGUUUUCUCAUCUCUUCUUCUGGGUCAAAAUGUUUUUAAAUAUGGCAACUAGGAGGUACAAUAGAGUGCU